GAAAUGGCUCAGAGCAAAGGCAAUGCCACAGGACCUGCAGCAUCCUUCCAAUGCAGCACUCAGAGCACAAUGGGCUGCUGGUCAGAAUGGACAUACCUCUCUGAAGGAGAUGAAGACACAGCUCCAGGGCAGGCAAAUCCUGAACAUGGAGCUGCUCAGCCAUGCAUCACAGUGGGGAACUGAUGGAAGAAAUGAAUGUGCUUCUUCACUCAGCAGUAUGACUUAUAACUCAGGAGGGAAAAAUGAGCUCAUGAGGACAGCCUGUUUCACCUUCUCUCCCACUCCUCAUGGGUAUAGAGAUGGGUAGGAGAGUCAAAAGCUGCCAAAAGCAUCAGCCAGAGGAGAACUGACAGGCUAGCAGCUCGUUAUUACUCAUCCUGGUGAUUUUAUGUCACACUUUUCACUAAGUGCUCUGAUAAACAUGCUCUAAUUCCUUCAGUGCCUCUUGCAGCUCGAGUUUGAAGCAGUGGGAUGACAGGAAGAUUGAGGCUUUGCAGAAGGGCAUUUGGGUCGGAGCCUCAGCUAGUGCAAGUCUUCCUGGUUGUGGGAUUUCUGCAUCCCUUUUCAGAACCAAAGCUGGUAAGCAUCUUUUGAAGUGCAGAUGUCUUGGAAAAGCAGUGAUACACAAUUCUAUUUAAAUGAGAGUAAUAAAAGGAAAACAAAUUUAGGAAAUAUAUGUAAACCAUCCCUAAUCGCAACCAGGAAAUCAACUUUGCUAGAGUGGGGCUGAGCGUGUGUCUAAUCUGGGCUCGGGUGAGGAACAGAAGAAAUGUAGAAGGAAUCAAUUUUUACUAUGUUAUGCUGAGCCUCUCACUGACAGACACAAGCCAGCUGUCAGCAUCAGCACUUAAAGCAUAACUUGACCAAACUGCCCUCAACUGAGGGAGCAAGAUCAAUUGGGGCAUGUGCAUGGCUCCAGGAAGCUUCAUCCUCUUGGAAACAAGAAGCAAGUGAGGGUGGCAUUAGUGGCAUGGUGCGUGUAACCAAAAGGAUGUCCUCAAUAUGAGUGUGCUUGGUGUUGGAAAUCUUUUAGAAUAACCUUCUGAUUCUUCUCCCUUUGGUACCACCUCAUUUGAUGGCAAGAUUGAGCUCUGGAUCUUCCAGUCUGACCUCUGGUUAGAUUCUUCAUCCUCUCAUGCAACAGUCGCCCUAGUGAAUGCAGGAUGCUCUCUCAUCGACUCUUCUCUUGCUUGUUCCUCUUCAUCUCAAGCCUUUACAAUCUUCAGAAAGAGCAGAAUGGAAAGAGCCCAUACAUUGUGGCUGCUAAUAGGAUCUCCAGAAAGUGCCAGGGCACCGCAUUUGAGAUAUUGCUGUGAUAGUGCCAGCAAAGUGACAGAAUCCAAAGCAACCAGUGUGUGAUAAAACCUGAAGCAUUUAGCAUACAUCAUGGCUUGGAAAAAUGAUUUGGUCAGAAAGUCUUCAAAUUACUGUACGGUCUCAGAACAACAGAAAGAGCAAGAAGCUUGCUCUGAAAGCGGGGAUCUAGUUCAGAUAUAUUCUACAUGGCUAUAGGCACUCACACAUAUAUAACCGUUGAGAUCAGCACCGGAUGGUGUUUUUUAUUUAGUUUCAUGCUUUGUUAACUUCUCUAAAUUAUGUGGAACGCUUUUUUUUUUUUUUUAAUACCCAAACUUCUGCCUGUUCCCAAUUACCAAAAGAGAAGAAGAAGGGGAAAAAAAAAAAGAGGAAAAAAGAGCUGAGUCUGUGGAGCAAGCUGGCACCACUACGAAGCAAUCUCCAACUACACAAUGCAUCCUUCUUGCAGGAACUAUCAGAGGCAAGUUGGGGACUGGAGAGAUGGAGGAGUUAAGGCACAUGGUGGUAGGCUGCAGGGAAGACACUGACAGAGAUUGAAAGAGGUCUUGAGCAUUUCUAAAGCCCUGAAGGAAGUGUCAGAGAGAUUUUGAUGAUACUCAUCCCUGCCUUCUGGUUUGGGUACUCGGAGGACUUAUAUUAACUCAAAAAUGCAGAAAGAAAAUCUGCAGUGCUCCUUUUGAGUUGUCUGCUAAAUCUUAAUAGAUACAAACCAAAGCCUGGGACUCUGUCUGAGGCUCACCUCUAACGGAUCAACUGCAGCUAACCAGAACCUUGGGUGAAUCUGGACAUGCAGUUUGUUCUGCUAUUGGGUCUUUAUCCAGUGUUCAAGGUUGCUUUUUGAUAUGACAAUUGAAGAUAGUUUUUAUUCAAUUAUUGCAUUAGUGGGAGUCUGAAGCAGGCUCAUGAUCACCAGGGUUAUUGCUGUAUGAGUUAAUGUUCACACCCCUUUUGGGUGUCCCAGAGGAGUGCUGCAGGCUUAUGGCCAAAUUUUAUUUUGACUUGGAUCCCAGUGUGCAAGCCAACUGUUUCUGCAUUUCAUUUCUGUCAUAUCCUGUACAUUAAAACACCAUUAAUUCAAACCUUUUGUUUCUAAGAACAACUGUGCUGUAAAACAGCAAUAAAAAGCUGCCAAAGUUCUCUUAAA
Non-coding RNA from Phasianus colchicus (ring-necked pheasant), 2461 nucleotides. The record is from RefSeq and is a predicted model, not a curated record. NCBI's taxonomy places the organism in Eukaryota, Metazoa, Chordata, Aves, Galliformes, Phasianidae.